Molecule: ribosomal RNA, 253 nt
Filed under: uncultured bacterium
Lineage: Bacteria
Description: partial 16S ribosomal RNA
Rfam family: Bacterial small subunit ribosomal RNA
Source: RNAcentral
UACGUAGGGUGCGAGCGUUGUCCGGAAUUAUUGGGCGUAAAGGGCUCGUAGGCGGUCUGUCACGUCGAAAGUGAAAACUCAGGGCUUAACCCUGAGCCUGCUUCGGAUACGGGCAGACUAGAGGUAUGCAGGGGAGAAUGGAAUUCCUGGUGUAGCGGUGAAAUGCGCAGAUAUCAGGAGGAACACCAGUGGCGAAGGCGGUUCUCUGGGCAUUACCUGACGCUGAGGAGCGAAAGUGUGGGGAGCGAACAGG